GUACACGGUGGAUGCCCUGGCAGUCAGAGGCGAUGAAGGACGUGCUAAUCUGCGAUAAGCGUCGGUAAGGUGAUAUGAACCGUUAUAACCGGCGAUUUCCGAAUGGGGAAACCCAGUGUGAUUCGUCACACUAUCAUUAACUGAAUCCAUAGGUUAAUGAGGCGAACCGGGGGAACUGAAACAUCUAAGUACCCCGAGGAAAAGAAAUCAACCGAGAUUCCCCCAGUAGCGGCGAGCGAACGGGGAGCAGCCCAGAGCCUGAAUCAGUGUGUGUGUUAGUGGAAGCGUCUGGAAAGGCGCGCGAUACAGGGUGACAGCCCCGUACACAAAAAUGCACAUAUUGUGAGCUCGAUGAGUAGGGCGGGACACGUGGUAUCCUGUCUGAAUAUGGGGGGCCCAUCCUCCAAGGCUAAAUACUCCUGACUGACCGAUAGUGAACCAGUACCGUGAGGGAAAGGCGAAAAGAACCCCGGCGAGGGGAGUGAAAAAGAACCUGAAACCGUGUACGUACAAGCAGUGGGAGCACGCUUAGGCGUGUGACUGCGUACCUUUUGUAUAAUGGGUCAGCGACUUAUAUUCUGUAGCAAGGUUAACCGAAUAGGGGAGCCGAAGGGAAACCGAGUCUUAACUGGGCGUUAAGUUGCAGGGUAUAGACCCGAAACCCGGUGAUCUAGCCAUGGGCAGGUUGAAGGUUGGGUAACACUAACUGGAGGACCGAACCGACUAAUGUUGAAAAAUUAGCGGAUGACUUGUGGCUGGGGGUGAAAGGCCAAUCAAACCGGGAGAUAGCUGGUUCUCCCCGAAAGCUAUUUAGGUAGCGCCUCGUGAAUUCAUCUCCGGGGGUAGAGCACUGUUUCGGCAAGGGGGUCAUCCCGACUUACCAACCCGAUGCAAACUGCGAAUACCGGAGAAUGUUAUCACGGGAGACACACGGCGGGUGCUAACGUCCGUCGUGAAGAGGGAAACAACCCAGACCGCCAGCUAAGGUCCCAAAGUCAUGGUUAAGUGGGAAACGAUGUGGGAAGGCCCAGACAGCCAGGAUGUUGGCUUAGAAGCAGCCAUCAUUUAAAGAAAGCGUAAUAGCUCACUGGUCGAGUCGGCCUGCGCGGAAGAUGUAACGGGGCUAAACCAUGCACCGAAGCUGCGGCAGCGACGCUUAUGCGUUGUUGGGUAGGGGAGCGUUCUGUAAGCCUGCGAAGGUGUGCUGUGAGGCAUGCUGGAGGUAUCAGAAGUGCGAAUGCUGACAUAAGUAACGAUAAAGCGGGUGAAAAGCCCGCUCGCCGGAAGACCAAGGGUUCCUGUCCAACGUUAAUCGGGGCAGGGUGAGUCGACCCCUAAGGCGAGGCCGAAAGGCGUAGUCGAUGGGAAACAGGUUAAUAUUCCUGUACUUGGUGUUACUGCGAAGGGGGGACGGAGAAGGCUAUGUUGGCCGGGCGACGGUUGUCCCGGUUUAAGCGUGUAGGCUGGUUUUCCAGGCAAAUCCGGAAAAUCAAGGCUGAGGCGUGAUGACGAGGCACUACGGUGCUGAAGCAACAAAUGCCCUGCUUCCAGGAAAAGCCUCUAAGCAUCAGGUAACAUCAAAUCGUACCCCAAACCGACACAGGUGGUCAGGUAGAGAAUACCAAGGCGCUUGAGAGAACUCGGGUGAAGGAACUAGGCAAAAUGGUGCCGUAACUUCGGGAGAAGGCACGCUGAUAUGUAGGUGAAGUCCCUUGCGGAUGGAGCUGAAAUCAGUCGAAGAUACCAGCUGGCUGCAACUGUUUAUUAAAAACACAGCACUGUGCAAACACGAAAGUGGACGUAUACGGUGUGACGCCUGCCCGGUGCCGGAAGGUUAAUUGAUGGGGUCAGCGCAAGCGAAGCUCUUGAUCGAAGCCCCGGUAAACGGCGGCCGUAACUAUAACGGUCCUAAGGUAGCGAAAUUCCUUGUCGGGUAAGUUCCGACCUGCACGAAUGGCGUAAUGAUGGCCAGGCUGUCUCCACCCGAGACUCAGUGAAAUUGAACUCGCUGUGAAGAUGCAGUGUACCCGCGGCAAGACGGAAAGACCCCGUGAACCUUUACUAUAGCUUGACACUGAACAUUGAGCCUUGAUGUGUAGGAUAGGUGGGAGGCUUUGAAGUGUGGACGCCAGUCUGCAUGGAGCCGGCCUUGAAAUACCACCCUUUAAUGUUUGAUGUUCUAACGUGGACCCGUGAUCCGGGUUGCGGACAGUGUCUGGUGGGUAGUUUGACUGGGGCGGUCUCCUCCUAAAGAGUAACGGAGGAGCACGAAGGUUGGCUAAUCCUGGUCGGACAUCAGGAGGUUAGUGCAAUGGCAUAAGCCAGCUUGACUGCGAGCGUGACGGCGCGAGCAGGUGCGAAAGCAGGUCAUAGUGAUCCGGUGGUUCUGAAUGGAAGGGCCAUCGCUCAACGGAUAAAAGGUACUCCGGGGAUAACAGGCUGAUACCGCCCAAGAGUUCAUAUCGACGGCGGUGUUUGGCACCUCGAUGUCGGCUCAUCACAUCCUGGGGCUGAAGUAGGUCCCAAGGGUAUGGCUGUUCGCCAUUUAAAGUGGUACGCGAGCUGGGUUUAGAACGUCGUGAGACAGUUCGGUCCCUAUCUGCCGUGGGCGCUGGAGAACUGAGGGGGGCUGCUCCUAGUACGAGAGGACCGGAGUGGACGCAUCACUGGUGUUCGGGUUGUCAUGCCAAUGGCACUGCCCGGUAGCUAAAUGCGGAAGAGAUAAGUGCUGAAAGCAUCUAAGCACGAAACUUGCCCCGAGAUGAGUUCUCCCUGACCCUUUAAGGGUCCUGAAGGAACGUUGAAGACGACGACGUUGAUAGGCCGGGUGUGUAAGCGCAGCGAUGCGUUGAGCUAACCGGUACUAAUGAACCGUGAGGCUUAACCUU
Molecule: ribosomal RNA, 2888 nt
Filed under: Shigella sonnei
Lineage: Bacteria; Pseudomonadati; Pseudomonadota; Gammaproteobacteria; Enterobacterales; Enterobacteriaceae
Description: bacterial LSU rRNA
Rfam family: Bacterial large subunit ribosomal RNA
Source: RNAcentral